AUGAAAUUUUAAGAGCAAAUGGGGUAUACCAGCUGUUCAGGAUUUAAAAAGGGAACCCUUCCAGUCCUCAAAACAAAAUGCAUUACUUCUGUGCUGAGGAAGAUUGAGCAGAAUCAGGAGUUAAGCUGGGAUCCUUGGCAAGUGACCCUCUGCUCUUAACAUGAGGGCUUAAACUGCUGGUCAAAACUGAACGCUUGUGCCGUGAUCCUGCCGUGCAUGGACCUGAAACGGAGAAAUGAGAAGCAAUAUUCUGCAUACGCACUAGCGCUCCGUGGAGGGCUGGGGAAACACAGCUGCGGAGCUGCAAGAGACCGGGGCUGACGCUGUAAGACAAGGAUCAACACCUUUCGCCUCAGAACAAGCGUUCUGCACCGCCGGAAAAUACUGAGGAGACUUCCAAGUAUAUAAUAAAAUGGGAGGGGGGGGGGGGGGGGGGGGGUGUGGAGAGGAGGAGACCCGGACCCGGCGCCGGUUCAUAUCGAGAGCUCUGCUCCCUCCUUCCCCCCCAACCUCCCCGGGGGGCAGCGGGCUUCCCCACGCCCACCACUU
Long non-coding RNA from Cygnus atratus (black swan), 549 nucleotides. RefSeq lists it as uncharacterized. The record is from RefSeq and is a predicted model, not a curated record. NCBI's taxonomy places the organism in Eukaryota, Metazoa, Chordata, Aves, Anseriformes, Anatidae. The transcript has 3 exons.